CACGUAGGGCGCAAGCGUUGUCCGGAAUUAUUGGGCGUAAAGAGCUCGUAGGCGGUCUGUUACGUCUGCUGUGAAAACCCGGGGCUUAACCCUGGGCUUGCAGUGGAUACGGGCAGACUAGAGGCAGGUAGGGGAGAAUGGAAUUCCCGGUGUAGCGGUGAAAUGCGCAGAUAUCGGGAGGAACACCGGGUGGCGAAGGCGGUUCUCUGGGCCUGACCUGACGCUGAGGAGCGAAAGCGUGGGGAGCGAACAGG
This 254-nucleotide ribosomal RNA is filed under the name uncultured bacterium. RNAcentral describes it as "partial 16S ribosomal RNA". It matches the Rfam family "Bacterial small subunit ribosomal RNA", at positions 524 to 776 of the family's 1533-position model. The record is from RNAcentral.